This 1068-nucleotide ribosomal RNA is filed under the name Salmonella enterica. RNAcentral describes it as "partial 23S ribosomal RNA". It matches the Rfam family "Bacterial large subunit ribosomal RNA", at positions 568 to 1637 of the family's 2925-position model. The record is from RNAcentral. Lineage: Bacteria; Pseudomonadati; Pseudomonadota; Gammaproteobacteria; Enterobacterales; Enterobacteriaceae.
AAGCAGAGGGGGCUUAGUGGUGGGGUGACUGCGUACCUUUUGUAUAAUGGGUCAGCGACUUAUAUUCUGUAGCAAGGUUAACCGAAUAGGGGAGCCGGAGGGAAACCGAGUCUUAACCGGGCGUUAAGUUGCAGGGUAUAGACCCGAAACCCGGUGAUCUAGCCAUGGGCAGGUUGAAGGUUGGGUAACACUAACUGGAGGACCGAACCGACUAAUGUUGAAAAAUUAGCGGAUGACCUGUGGCUGGGGGUGAAAGGCCAAUCAAACCGGGAGAUAGCUGGUUCUCCCCGAAAGCUAUUUAGGUAGCGCCUCGUGAAUUCAUCUUCGGGGGUAGAGCACUGUUUCGGCUAGGGGGUCAUCCCGACUUACCAACCCGAUGCAAACUGCGAAUACCGAAGAAUGUUAUCACGGGAGACACACGGCGGGUGCUAACGUCCGUCGUGAAGAGGGAAACAACCCAGACCGCCAGCUAAGGUCCCAAAGUCAUGGUUAAGUGGGAAACGAUGUGGGAAGGCCCAGACAGCCAGGAUGUUGGCUUAGAAGCAGCCAUCAUUUAAAGAAAGCGUAAUAGCUCACUGGUCGAGUCGGCCUGCGCGGAAGAUGUAACGGGGCUAAACCAUGCACCGAAGCUGCGGCAGCGACACUCAGGUGUUGUUGGGUAGGGGAGCGUUCUGUAAGCCUGUGAAGGUGUGUCGUGAGGCAUGCUGGAGGUAUCAGAAGUGCGAAUGCUGACAUAAGUAACGAUAAAGCGGGUGAAAAGCCCGCUCGCCGGAAGACCAAGGGUUCCUGUCCAACGUUAAUCGGGGCAGGGUGAGUCGACCCCUAAGGCGAGGCCGAAAGGCGUAGUCGAUGGGAAACGGGUUAAUAUUCCCGUACUUGGUGUUACUGCGAAGGGGGGACGGAGAAGGCUAUGUUGGCCGGGCGACGGUUGUCCCGGUUUAAGCGUGUAGGUGUGUGUUCCAGGUAAAUCCGGUUCACUUUAACACUGAGGCGUGAUGACGAGGCACUACGGUGCUGAAGCAACAAAUGCCCUGCUUCCAGGAAAAGCCUCUAAGCAUCAGGUAACAU